AAUAGGGUUCUUGCUAUCACUCUUGGGAUGGACCUGCGGUGCAUUAGCUAGUUGGUAGGGUAACGGGCCUCCAAGGCGAUGAUGCAUAGCCGAGUUGAGAGACUGAUCGGCCACAUUGGGACUGAGACACGGCCCAAACUCCUACGGGAGGCAGCAGUAGGGAAUCUUCCACAAUGGACGCAAGUCUGAUGGAGCAACGCCGCGUGAGUGAAGAAGGGUUUCGGCUCGUAAAGCUCUGUUGUUGGUGAAGAAGGACAGGGGUAGUAACUGACCUUUGUUUGACGGUAAUCAAUUAGAAAGUCACGGCUAACUACGUGCCAGCAGCCGCGGUAAU
This 334-nucleotide ribosomal RNA is filed under the name uncultured Lactobacillus sp. RNAcentral describes it as "bacterial SSU rRNA". It matches the Rfam family "Bacterial small subunit ribosomal RNA", at positions 202 to 524 of the family's 1533-position model. The record is from RNAcentral. Lineage: Bacteria; Bacillati; Bacillota; Bacilli; Lactobacillales; Lactobacillaceae.